GAUGAACGCUGGCGGCGUGCCUAAUACAUGCAAGUCGAGCGAACAGACGAGGAGCUUGCUCCUCUGACGUUAGCGGCGGACGGGUGAGUAACACGUGGAUAACCUACCUAUAAGACUGGGAUAACUUCGGGAAACCGGAGCUAAUACCGGAUAAUAUAUUGAACCGCAUGGUUCAAUAGUGAAAGACGGUUUUGCUGUCACUUAUAGAUGGAUCCGCGCCGCAUUAGCUAGUUGGUAAGGUAACGGCUUACCAAGGCAACGAUGCGUAGCCGACCUGAGAGGGUGAUCGGCCACACUGGAACUGAGACACGGUCCAGACUCCUACGGGAGGCAGCAGUAGGGAAUCUUCCGCAAAGGGCGAAAGCUUGACGGAGCAACGCCGCGUGAGUGAUGAAGGUCUUCGGAUCGUAAAACUCUGUUAUUAGGGAAGAACAAAUGUGUAAGUAACUAAGCACGUCUUGACGGUACCUAAUCAGAAAGCCACGGCUAACUACGUG
RNAcentral lists this ribosomal RNA (497 nucleotides) under uncultured bacterium. Its description in RNAcentral is "partial 16S ribosomal RNA". It matches the Rfam family "Bacterial small subunit ribosomal RNA", at positions 28 to 507 of the family's 1533-position model. The record is from RNAcentral.